CAGCCGCCGCGGUAAUACAGAGGGUGCGAGCGUUAAUCGGAUUUACUGGGCGUAAAUCGUGCGUAGGCGGCUUCUUAAGUCGGAUGUGAAAUCCCUGAGCUUAACUUAGGAAUUGCAUUCGAUACUGGGAAGCUAGAGUAUGGGAGAGGAUGGUAGAAUUCCAGGUGUAGCGGUGAAAUGCGUAGAGAUCUGGAGGAAUACCGAUGGCGAAGGCAGCCAUCUGGCCUAAUACUGACGCUGAGGUACGAAAGCAUGGGGAGCAAACAGGAUUAGAUACCCCUGUAGUCCCUGUCUCUUAUAC
Molecule: ribosomal RNA, 301 nt
Filed under: uncultured bacterium
Lineage: Bacteria
Description: partial 16S ribosomal RNA
Rfam family: Bacterial small subunit ribosomal RNA
Source: RNAcentral